This 504-nucleotide ribosomal RNA is filed under the name Triticum aestivum (bread wheat). Its description in RNAcentral is "partial small subunit ribosomal RNA". Lineage: Eukaryota; Viridiplantae; Streptophyta; Magnoliopsida; Poales; Poaceae. The record is from RNAcentral.
AUGGAUCUUUCCUGUCGUCGCAUCCUGCGCCAACCUGGAAGACUUGGGCGCCACUAUGCUCCAAGAUCUUCAUCUGGUUGGGCUGCAUGGACUGCCGCGCGGCGCACUCAACAUGGUCUCCCUCUCAGCCCAACUUGUGUCUUCUGUGACCAAGCCUUAGAGGCUAUUGAUCACCUUCCUGUUGGGUGCCCAUUCUCAUGUGUUAUCUGGCACGACAUCCUUACCGCGUGCAGACUCACGGUGGCCAUUCUGACGGCGACGGAUGGGUUCAUCGACUGGUGGAGCUCCGCCACGACCACCUCCCCACCAUCACUUUGCAAAGGCUUUGCCUCCCUUGGUAUUCCCGUUGCUUGGAGUAUUUGGAAGCAUCGCAACUCCAUCAUCUUUGAGGCUGCUCGACCCUCCACGGAUAUUGUCACCCAAACCAUCCGCGAUGAGGCUCGCAUGUGGGCUCUAGCCGGAGCUAGAGGAUUGGUGAUGAUUUCCCUAUUUAAACCACCAUAG